RNAcentral lists this small RNA (30 nucleotides) under Bombyx mori (domestic silkworm). Its description in RNAcentral is "ovarian small RNA-15997". Lineage: Eukaryota; Metazoa; Arthropoda; Insecta; Lepidoptera; Bombycidae. The record is from RNAcentral.
GAGUCGUCACGCGAACAAGGCCAACUUCAC